UCGCUCUUAUUUGUUUCUCUUGUUCUAUUAGGCUGGAUUAUUAAUGCUGUUAAUAUCGAUCCAGACUGUACAUCGGACGCAGUAAAAAAUUGGCCUUUUUAUGUUGGUGGGUACCUGGAAUGAUGCAACAUGCUUCAGGACAAGGCCAUCAUCUAAGAAGCUUCAUCUGCGGAAAACAUGAACAUUGAGGCCCGGGUCCAUAAAAAGAGUAAAAGUCAUCUUGUAGUGGACGGUUUCCUUCUCGUCUCUCAGCUUGAAGGUGAAGAAGCGGACGAGGACCGCUGCAAAGAUCUUCAUUUGACGGUAGGCGAACUCCUUCCCCAGGCAUAUCCGAGGACCCGCCUGCGUCCGAAUGAUGCCGAAGUUACUAAAUACCGUCCACAUCGAAGAAGAUGAAGACGACGAAGACGGGGAAAAAUUUCGGGGAUUCAGCCUUCAUUUCCUACUUCAUCGUCUUCUUCUUCCUCACCUGAAAGGCCGUGAAUUUGAAGGGGUUCUCCGGACGAAAGCUCCCAUCUGCAUCGAACCAUCUUUCAGGCCGGAAGAUCUCCGCGUCCUCGCCCCAUAAGUACUUCAUUCUCCCCAUGGCGUACGGCUGGUAUAUGAUGACUUCCCCCGCUUUCACGUCGUACCCGUCAGGCAACUCGUCGUCUGAGAAGCAGAUCUUCCCAUCCUGCAAAUUGUGAUCAGAAGGACCGCCGCCAUCUGUAAGAGGCGAUCGUUUGAUCGGAGAUGCCACCGGAGUUCUUAAUGGCUUACCGCCGGAACAGCGGGAUAAAGGCGCAGGGUCUCGGAUAUAGCCGCAUGUAGGUACGUCAUCUUCGCCAGCGAUCCCUCAGUUACUUUUGUCGCGAAUUCUUCCAUGGACUCGCUGCCUUUGGCGCCCACUGCCUCGUUAACUUCUUCGAAUAUCUUCUGUUCCACACGGGGAUGCCUGCAGAGAAGGUAGAUGAACCAGGACAGGGUGCCCGCCGUCGUGUCCUUGCCAGCGAUGAGGAAGCUGAGGAUUAUGUCUCUCAGAUACCGAUCAUUCAUGUUCUCGGGAUCCUUCGGUCUCUCGUUAAGAAACCUCGACAGGAUGUCUUGCUUAUCUACCUGCGGGAGCAGGAAAUUAAUCAAACACCCCACGGACAUCGGCAAUUUGUAGCGGUUUCUGCACAGAGUCUCACCUUC
Molecule: long non-coding RNA, 1173 nt
Filed under: Spirodela polyrhiza (greater duckweed)
Lineage: Eukaryota; Viridiplantae; Streptophyta; Magnoliopsida; Alismatales; Araceae
Description: long non-coding RNA (SPOL_LNC000378)
Source: RNAcentral